CACAAAUUGAAAAUGUAGUUAGGUCUAUGAUAGUUGCAUCUGUACUGCACAUGUACAGACUUUUUUUUCUGGUCAUUAUUCCCUAAACGAUGAGUAUAAUGACUAUUUACAUAGCAUUUACAUUGCUUCAUUUCAGUGAAGUGGUAGGGGUGUAAGUGUGACUGGAGUGGAUUCAAGAAACAAUAAGAGAAGAGACAAUAGCAACAGUCUCAGCAAGUAAUGGAUUCUGAUCUGCAAACACAACCCAGCAUGCCAGCAUUUGCAGAUGUACCCAUGAGCCAACCAAAUAGCAAGUCUCCUUUGCAAGCAAAAGGUCAACUUCUCAUUGUGAAGUCUCCAGUUACAGACUCACAUUCAUUCUCAAAUCACCCUAACACACAGAAAACAGACAUAUUUACUUUUCUCAUGAUUCAUGGGAGAAUUUUGCUCUGAAACAAAGUCAACAGCCAAAUCUCUCCUCAGCAAGCUGAAAAGCACAUCCCAUACUGGUCUCUGGGUGAAAGACCCUCUAGUAAACUUGGUGAGAGUGACAAGAAAAAAAGGGAUUUUUUAGAUUAGAAGAAAAUGUUCCUAUUUCACUACAGUGUCCUUUGGACCUAAAUACUCUUCAUUCUGAGUCACAUUUCCUAUGAGAUGUUACCAAGG
RNAcentral lists this long non-coding RNA (645 nucleotides) under Homo sapiens (human). RNAcentral describes it as "HSALNT0286242". Lineage: Eukaryota; Metazoa; Chordata; Mammalia; Primates; Hominidae. The record is from RNAcentral.